GUGUGUGCGUGCAGUUAUUCCUAACCCUCAAACUGAUGAACAAUAAUUUCCCCAUUUCAAUAUUUUCCAGCUUUCUAACAGGUGUGUUUUGCAAUAUCUAAUGCACACAUAUAAAUUACAUUUAGAAUACUCAAUUAUAAUGCUUGUUAGAUUUGUUAGCACUAAGAUAUCGAUUUUCCAACUUCAGACAGCAAUUAACAUGCUUUGCUUGUUCAUUUUAAAGUUCCCAGACCUCACUGAAAGCCCACCUGGUAAUGCCAGAGGACAGUAUCAUCAGCAGUGUCCAGGAGCAACUGUCAAAAUCUGACCAAAUGGUGGCUGCAGGACAGCUUUCACAAAUAGAUAAAGUGGUUGGAACUAUGCUGGAGAACAUUGAGAAGAUAAGCAGCGAAUGUGGCGAGGAAUUGGUCUAUCAAGAGUCACUGCGGUCUUCCUCCUCGUUGUCAUUCUCAACUGCCAAAUCACAGAAGACAGAGUGGGAAUUUGCACUCCCUGGCACUCCCAUUCCUUCUGAGUUACCCGAGAGUACUGCUCAGCCCAUUGUAAGAUGUUCAGUCAUUGACAUGAGCAAAUCUACUAAGCCAAAAACAAUGGUGUGUGAUGCCAGAACAAGCAUGUUUGCCAUAGCCGAUACCAUCAUGAAGAAGGUAUAUCCAGAGGCAGAAGGGCAGGUUACAUCUCGCCCUGAUCUAACAGAUGCAAUAGCUAGACUGGAGGAGCUCAUAUCUCAGGGUAGGAUUGGUGCUCUCUCCCGUGAUCUCAGUCACCAAGUCACCCUCAUAAUUUCCGAUAGCAACUUGACCCCUCUGGGACUGACAGUGGCGGCUGGAAAGAGUGCAUCUGAUACCAUCCUUUCGAAGCUGAAGAGGAAUGACAAGGUGGGGAAGCACACAACUUACGAGCUGGUUCAGCUGUUUGUAGAGGAGUCUGUUAAGUGCCUCCUGCUUCCUAGUUUUGUGCCCUAUUCAACUUCAAUGAGUUUGGCUCAGGGGGCCACGGUGUUGGCUAGAGUGUCUGAAGAUAGAAUUUCUAGCUCUUCUUCUUCAUCAGUAUUUAGUGACACAGUCAGUCUCUUUACCAAAGUUAUGGUAAGCCAGGUCAUGUACUCUGUGCAUUCUGAUGCAGAAAGUAGAGGAUCCUCUCCAACUGAAUCUCUCCAAACAUCUGAAACCACUAUAUCUGAUGUAGGCAAUCUAUUGAGUGGCAAGUCCUCCCCUCGGCUGUCUCCUUCUGGCACCAUUAUGGCAACAAGCGAGACCUCCAAUGCAGCACAAAUCUUGAAGGCCAACAUUGAUGGAGAGGAAGUGGAUACCACCAGUCAUUCUGGUGUAGCUCAAAACAUUGUCAGGGACGAUAUGUCAACCAGCCCAGACAUGGUCAAAGAUGUCACACUUCCAACCCCAUCCUCUGAUAACUUGGGCAGUGAUGAUGACGUCACCGGCCUCAUCAGCAUGUUAGUAAUGAGAAUUCUAACAGAAAUCCAAACCCCAGCAGAAGAUUACCCAGUUGACGCCACACGCAAGUCACAAGACCUGAUCCCUAAAGUUAUGGAGGUCUUCUGUGCAUGGUCAGGCUGCUCUGAGACACAAGCCUAUCCAGAGAACUUGAGGAUUCAUAAAGUCUACAGAGUCGUCUAUAAAAAUCUGUUGGAGGAGUUUGGCUCGGAGAAAAUCCUCCAACAGGCCGUGUCGACUCAGGACUCUUCAUUUGAUAGGAUUCUUGUCAAGUCUUUGAGUGAAGCGCUUCUCCACAGAUGUAAUGAGGCAUUGAGGGCAGCCUCAAGAACAUCAGUCAAAACCACUGGGCCUAAGGCUCUUCCACUGGCUGAGGAUGUGAGGGCUAGCAGCGGGAAACUAUCUUUUCUACAAAGGCUGGUCAGGCUGACAAGCAACUUAAAGGUACAGCAAACGUAUUUAAAUGAACAGUUGUGGGAGAUAAUGUGAGUAAACAAUGCUAUUCAGUGUAAAAAUAUAAAACCAUCCGUUCAUUCCAAAACCAAUCAUAAAUGUUGUUGUGCUGGUGUGGUAGUUGUGAUUGUUAUCAUCAUGAGGUUGGUCAGCUGUGACAUUUUUUAAAACAUGUUUUUCUCUUUAAAUACUUAGCUAUUCAAGAAGGGGAACAAGAAGGAUUCCCACCGCUCUGAAUCAGAACAAGUACAGACCACUGCUGAAGAUGGCAUGCUGCCCAGCAUAGUGCCACAUGCUGCCAUGUCUGCACUGCCAAAGGAUCUCCCCGCCAGCUCCCAACAGGAGACGCCUCACAAACGUCCACUUCUCGUCAGGAUGUUUUCUGCCAUCUCCAAAGGCCUGUUCAAGCCCUUCAAACAGUCCUUAAAGACCAAGUGCAUCCUGUUUCCAUUGAUCAUCCUUGAGAUGUUUCUACAACUUGUUUGGAGUCCUGUGGUAAAUUCAAUUGAUUGGACAUGAUUUGGACAGAAACACAGACCUGGGGGAAGGGUAUGAGAAACAAUAUUCUCUGAUCUGAUGAUACCGAGAUUGAACUCUUUGGCCUGAAUCAGGAUCCUGGGAAAGAUGAACGGAGCAAAGUACAGAGAUCCUUGAUGAAAACC
Molecule: non-coding RNA, 2569 nt
Organism: Oncorhynchus mykiss (rainbow trout)
Lineage: Eukaryota; Metazoa; Chordata; Actinopteri; Salmoniformes; Salmonidae
Source: RefSeq, a predicted model, not a curated record